RNAcentral lists this signal recognition particle RNA (284 nucleotides) under Propithecus coquereli (Coquerel's sifaka). RNAcentral's name for it is "Metazoan signal recognition particle RNA (ENSPCOG00000001115.1)". It matches the Rfam family "Metazoan signal recognition particle RNA". From Rfam's summary of the family: The signal recognition particle (SRP) is a universally conserved ribonucleoprotein. It is involved in the co-translational targeting of proteins to membranes. The record is from RNAcentral. Lineage: Eukaryota; Metazoa; Chordata; Mammalia; Primates; Indriidae.
UCUAUAAAAUUAAAAGCAAACCCAGCUACUCAGGAGGCUGAGGCAGGAGGAUCACUUCAGCCAGAGUUCUAGGGUAUAAUGAGCUAUGCCAAUUGGGUGUCUGCAGUAAGUUUGGCAUCAAUAUGGUAAUCUCUUAGGAAUGGGGGGCCACCAGGUUGCCUACGGAGGGGUGAACUGGCCCAGAUGAGAAAUAAAGCAAUUCAAAAUUCCUGUGCUGAUCAGUAGUGGGCUCGCACCUGUGAAUAGCCCCUCCAGCCUGGGCAACAUACCAAGACCCUGUCUCU